This 71-nucleotide transfer RNA is filed under the name Heterocephalus glaber (naked mole-rat). It matches the Rfam family "tRNA". Rfam says of the family: Transfer RNA (tRNA) molecules are approximately 80 nucleotides in length. The record is from Rfam by way of RNAcentral. Lineage: Eukaryota; Metazoa; Chordata; Mammalia; Rodentia; Bathyergidae.
GGUAGAAACAGAUAGAUGAAAACUCUAGGCUUUGGACCUAGAAUGUGUGAGUUUGAAUCUCAUUUCUACCA